CGAUUAUGGUAGUUUGUGAGGUAACGGCUCACCAAGCCGAUAAUCGAUAGGGGCCGUGAGAGCGGGAGCCCCGAGAUGGGUACUUAGACAGCGACCCAGGCCUUACGAGGCGCAGCAGGCGCGAGACCUUCGCAAUACACGAAAGUGUGACGGGGUGACCCAAAGUGUCCAUAUAUGGACUGUGGUAGGUGAGUAAUGUCCCCUACUAGAAAGGAGAGGGCAAGGCUGGUGCCAUCCGCCUCGGUAAAACCUGCUCUUCAAGUGGUCGGGAUAAUUAUUGGGCUUAAUGUGUCCGUAGCCGGUUUAUUUAGUUCCUGGUUAAAUCGGGUAGCUUAACUAUCUGUUGCUAGGAAUACUGCUAUACUAGAGGGCGGGAGAGGUCUGAGGUACUACUGGGGUAGGGGUGAAAUCUUAUAAUCCUUGUAGGACCACCAGUGGCGAAUGCGUCUGACUGGAACGCGCCUGACGGUGAGGGACGAAAGCCAGGGGAGCGAAUCGGAUUAUAUACCCGGGUAGUCCUGUCUGUAAACGAUGCAUACUAUGUGAUGGUACUGUUAUGAGUCG
RNAcentral lists this ribosomal RNA (564 nucleotides) under uncultured archaeon. Its description in RNAcentral is "bacterial SSU rRNA". It matches the Rfam family "Archaeal small subunit ribosomal RNA", at positions 222 to 792 of the family's 1478-position model. The record is from RNAcentral.